UACAGAGGGUGCGAGCGUUGUCCGGAAUCACUGGGCGUAAAGGGCGCGUAGGUGGCGACCCAAGUCGAUGGUGAAAGCUCGCCGCUCAACGGCGAGUCGGCCACCGAUACUGGGUUGCUGGAGCACUGUAGAGGCUCAUGGAAUCCGGGUGUAGCGGUGGAAUGCGUAGAGAGUCCGGAAGAACACCGGUGGCGAAGGCGGCCAUCUGGACCAGCACUGACGGCUGAGGCACGGAAAGCGUGGGGAGCAAACAGGG
This 256-nucleotide ribosomal RNA is filed under the name uncultured bacterium. RNAcentral's name for it is "partial 16S ribosomal RNA". It matches the Rfam family "Bacterial small subunit ribosomal RNA", at positions 524 to 777 of the family's 1533-position model. The record is from RNAcentral.